GCACUCGUAGCUCAAUGGAUAGAGCAUCUGACUACGGAUCAGAAGGUUGAAUGUUCGAGUCAUUCCGAGUGCGC
Molecule: transfer RNA, 74 nt
Filed under: uncultured Acidimicrobiaceae bacterium
Lineage: Bacteria; Bacillati; Actinomycetota; Acidimicrobiia; Acidimicrobiales; Acidimicrobiaceae
Also listed under: 1 other name
Description: tRNA-Arg
Rfam family: tRNA
About the family: Transfer RNA (tRNA) molecules are approximately 80 nucleotides in length. Their secondary structure includes four short double-helical elements and three loops (D, anti-codon, and T loops). Further hydrogen bonds mediate the characteristic L-shaped molecular structure. tRNAs have two regions of fundamental functional importance: the anti-codon, which is responsible for specific mRNA codon recognition, and the 3' end, to which the tRNAs corresponding amino acid is attached (by aminoacyl-tRNA synthetases). tRNAs cope with the degeneracy of the genetic code in two manners: having more than one tRNA (with a specific anti-codon) for a particular amino acid; and 'wobble' base-pairing, i.e. permitting non-standard base-pairing at the 3rd anti-codon position.
Source: RNAcentral